Molecule: unclassified non-coding RNA, 373 nt
Filed under: soil metagenome
Description: partial contains internal transcribed spacer 2 and large subunit ribosomal RNA
Rfam family: 5.8S ribosomal RNA (bases 1-120)
Source: RNAcentral
GAUGAAGAACGUAGCGAAAUGCGAUAAUUAAUGUGAAUUGCAGAAUUCCGUGAAUCAUCGAGUCUUUGAACGCACAUUGCGCCUCAUGGCAUUCCAUGAGGCAUGCCCAUCUCAGCGUUAGAAAAUAUUCUCAAAUUUUAGUUUUGUGCUAAAAUUUGGAUCAUGUCAAGGAAGCUAUUACUAUUAUUGUGAUCGCUCUUUGGAAAUUGAUAGGUCUUUGAGUUGCUACUCAUAGAACGUGAUGAAUCUUUCUUCGUUCUAUUGUAAUUCACUCUGGUAGUCCUAAAACUUGUAUGCCUGUGGCAUAUCUUGUAAUUUGACCUGAGAUUGGGUAGGGAUACCCGCUGAACUUAAGCAUAUCAAUAAGCGGAGA